GGGGAAUCUUCCGCAAUGGGCGCAAGCCUGACGGAGCAAGACCGCGUGCGGGAGGACGGCCUAUUGGUUGUAAACCGCUUUUGAUAGGGAAGAAGCUCUGACGGUACCUAUCGAAUCAGCAUCGGCUAACUCCGUGCCAGCAGCCGCGGUAAUACGGAGGAUGCAAGCGUUAUCCGGAAUUAUUGGGCGUAAAGCGUCCGUAGGUGGUUGUUCAAGUCUGCUGUUAAAGCGUGCGGCUUAUCCGCAUACCAGCAGUGGAAACUGGGCGACUAGAGUGCGGUAGGGAUCAGGGGAAUUCCCAGUGUAGCGGUGAAAUGCGUAGACAUAGGAAGAACACCAGCGGUGAAAGCACGUAUAUUGGCCUGAUCAGACACUGAGGGUCGAUAUCUAGGGGAGCGAAUGGGAUUAAAUACCACUAUAGUC
RNAcentral lists this ribosomal RNA (423 nucleotides) under uncultured Oscillatoria sp. RNAcentral describes it as "bacterial SSU rRNA". It matches the Rfam family "Bacterial small subunit ribosomal RNA", at positions 356 to 795 of the family's 1533-position model. Lineage: Bacteria; Bacillati; Cyanobacteriota; Cyanophyceae; Oscillatoriales; Oscillatoriaceae. The record is from RNAcentral.